AGUGAACGCUGGCGGUAGGCCUAACACAUGCAAGUCGAACGGCAGCACAGUAAGAGCUUGCUCUUACGGGUGGCGAGUGGCGGACGGGUGAGGAAUACAUCGGAAUCUACUUUUUCGUGGGGGAUAACGUAGGGAAACUUACGCUAAUACCGCAUACGACCUACGGGUGAAAGCAGGGGAUCUUCGGACCUUGCGCGAUUGAAUGAGCCGAUGUCGGAUUAGCUAGUUGGCGGGGUAAAGGCCCACCAAGGCGACGAUCCGUAGCUGGUCUGAGAGGAUGAUCAGACACACUGGAACUGAGACACGGUCCAGACUCCUACGGGAGGCAGCAGUGGGGAAUAUUGGACAAUGGGCGCAAGCCUGAUCCAGCCAUACCGCGUGGGUGAAGAAGGCCUUCGGGUUGUAAAGCCCUUUUGUUGGGAAAGAAAAGCAGCAGGUUAAUACCCCGCUGUUCUGACGGUACCCAAAGAAUAAGCACCGGAUAACUUCG
RNAcentral lists this ribosomal RNA (490 nucleotides) under uncultured bacterium. RNAcentral describes it as "partial 16S ribosomal RNA". It matches the Rfam family "Bacterial small subunit ribosomal RNA", at positions 29 to 505 of the family's 1533-position model. The record is from RNAcentral.